AAAAGCUUCUAGCGAGAUAAAAGGUGCCUGUACCGCAAACCGACACAGGUAGGCGAGGAGAGAAUCCUAAGGUGUGCGAGAGAACUCUGGUUAAGGAACUCGGCAAAAUGACCCCGUAACUUCGGGAGAAGGGGUGCUUUCUUAACGGAAAGCCGCAGUGAAUAGGCCCAAGCGACUGUUUAGCAAAAACACAGCUCUCUGCGAAGCCGU
This 210-nucleotide ribosomal RNA is filed under the name Serratia marcescens. RNAcentral describes it as "partial 23S ribosomal RNA". It matches the Rfam family "Bacterial large subunit ribosomal RNA", at positions 1613 to 1834 of the family's 2925-position model. Lineage: Bacteria; Pseudomonadati; Pseudomonadota; Gammaproteobacteria; Enterobacterales; Yersiniaceae. The record is from RNAcentral.